This 595-nucleotide long non-coding RNA is filed under the name Lathyrus oleraceus (garden pea). Its description in RNAcentral is "Pisum sativum (pea) long non-coding RNA (PSAT_LNC028023)". Lineage: Eukaryota; Viridiplantae; Streptophyta; Magnoliopsida; Fabales; Fabaceae. The record is from RNAcentral.
UUCACGCCUUUCAUCGCCGCCGUGACACUUUGUGAGAAUUCUCCCUUUUUUUUCCUUUUAUCAUUUUCGUGUGUUUGUUGAUAGAGACUUUACUGAAAUGCGAUUAAGGGGUUUUGGGUGUGAGUGAAAGAGACGCGACUGUUGAGUCAUGAGAGACGCAGUGUUGAGAGAGACGGAAGCGGCUACGUUGAGAGGGAGAGAUUUCUCUGAGCUUGAGGGGGUUCAUGAGGUUGAGGACGAUGGCGAUGAAUCAUUUUCUUUUUUUCCUUUUUUUAAUUUUUCUUUUAUUAUUUAAUUUAAUUUGUUUUUAAUACAAAAACCAUAAAAAAUGUUUAUCUUGUUCUUAAAUCUUUUUAUUUUUUAGCCCGGUUCAUAUAUUUAACGUGGUAUCUCGGUAGCAGAUAAGGAUGAGUGGCCUGGUGGAGAAGGGUAGUGUUCAUAUUCUUGAGUGGGGUGGGUUCAAUACUCACGUGUGACACCUUUUGCUUUUGAUUUUAUUUUUCUUUUAGCAUUUUUUAUCCUUUUAGUAUUUUGUUAAUAUCUUUUUUUUUAUGUCUAUUAUAAUUUCAUUUGUUAGUAAAUGCAUAGUUCAAAA